CGGUCGUGGAACUGUAUGCGUUGUUAUGUAAGUAGCUCGAUGUGUCUGUUCAGGUCUAACUGUUGGCGUGUAAGUGUGUGUGUGUGUGUGUUUCGGCUGCAGCUUGUCCACCUGGAGCGGGGCGUCAGCGUCGCCCUGCCCGGCUGUGGCGCUCUCAGAGCAGGCAGAGGUGUCUGGAUGCUUCCGUGCUUUUCCCUCUCAGCUGCAGUUAUUUUUUUUUUCUGGAUGCUUUAAAUUAAAUUGAAAACAGCAGCAAAAAACACUUUAAGUGUCCUAUUUAUAGACGAAUCCACACAUUUAACCAAUGAAUUUCAACGUUUAUUCACGUAUUUCUCAGCCGGACUUUUUCCUCCUUACCAUGAAGUUGUUGUUAUUCUAGUUUACUGUUAACUUCUGACCCGUGCCUUUAUUUCAGGACAUGUUUUAUCCUUAAAGCCGAGAGAAACUUUAAACAAAAUGAAUUACAAACAAAGGGAAAGGAAUAACAACUUUAUAUAUAUAUAUAAAACAUCCUAUUUUGAAAUAUUACAUCUGUUCAAAAUCGAUCCUUCCUGCAGGAAAGAAUUCUUCCUGUUACUUUUUCCUGCGUUUUCCUUUAAUGUUAAUAUUUUUUUUUCUUUUAUUUAGGUACCAAAAGGCUCAAACUAAGAUUUUCUGAUAUGCUUUCUAAAGUUCACGCAGUCAAGUUUAAAAUCAUACUUUUACUAGAUACCAACGUCAUUUAUUCCACUGGACUAUUUUAAGAAUGCCCGUCUUUUUUUCAGGUUCAUUUCUCAUUUUCUCUUAAUGUAUAAAAAUGUUGAAAGAACUUCUUUAGGACUGUAAAUUAAAAUUCAUUCACUUAAGUCAGAACUAAACUUCACACAGUUUGUAACUGUUUUUUCCCCCCUAAUUAUCUUAACCCCUUAUUUUAUCAGGAAUUUAGGACUUCCUUUUACGUUUUACAUUGUACUAAAACAAACAUGGACGCAUAUUUGAACUUUCUUUAUUCUUUUCUUAUUUGAUAUCGUUUAAAGGCCACCCUUUUUUAAAAAACAUUUAUUUAAUUCUGUCAGUGAGAGUCAGAGCGUGGAUCUUUGGUCCUGUUCAGUAGUGUAGAUCUGGUGUUAACGUCGGGUUGAUUUUCUUCAAACCACUUGUCUGUCUGUAGGUCCAAACCAAACUUCCUAUGGAGAAGAUAGAUCACCAGGAGUAGAUUUCAGUUUGUCAGAUUUCUUGUUUAACUUCUCAAACUCUUUUUUUUUUUUUAGUAUUCUGUAUUGGUUUCAUAGAGCGGUUGGAUUCAGCAGUACGUUAGUUUUAGCUGAUGAAAAGAAAACAGCUUUGGGGCAAAUAUGUAGACUAACCUGAAAAUAAUGACAGAAAAAAAUGCAAUUGUUCAGAACAGUGAUCUUGCUGCAAUUGGUCAGGUCGCUUUUUGCGUUUGCGCACAGUUUGCACUAAAAUGAAUACAGGAGAGGAAAACAGCGAUGAAACGGUGAAUCGAUUAAAGAUCUGCGUUUUUUUUUUUUUUUUACACCUCCUCCUUUAAAAUGGUUCUAGAGGAGAUAUGUCUGCUCCUCCUUGUGAUCGUGGUUUGAUAGGAAGGCCGACGUCACCGCUGUAUAAUCCUGGAGUCAACCAAUGAUGUCACCGUUGCUAGGCUGUGGCGAGGUUCUGCCCCCAGUUGCGGGUUAAAACCCCAAUAGGUGUAGCAGCUAGUUUAGUUAUGUCUGGGUUUGAACAUGUUACAUUUAUUAUCGUGUCGUCCAAAAUCCAUGGACCUGUAAAAUCCACUCCAUAAGGAGACAGCAGUUGUCUGGUCUGAGAAGUGACUUGGACUCGAGACCAAGUGGAUUCAAACCCAGAUUUUUCUCUGUUUCCUCUGGAGCUUUCUCUUCAUCAAAUACAAAUCAUCUCCAAAUUCAACCAAUACAUCUCUUCCGUUGGGGGAGGCUUUUUAUUCUUCUUCUUAUUGUGAGGUUUCUUUCUAGAAAAAACCUCUAAAAGAAUUGUCGUUUAUGUAAAGAUGUGUUGUUUAAAGUCCUCCGUCCAGCUGUAAGUCAAAGCUCCAUCUUGUGAAGAGUCUGAAGGGGGAGGUAGGGGAUAUGGUCAGACCAGUCUGGUGAUAAAUGGUCUGGACUUAAUUAGCUCAAAUCACUGUACACUGCAGCUUUUGGCAUCAGCAAAGCUGUCGGGUGGGUAGCAAAUAACAUACCGAGUCUGGAUUUGAUCCCACAACCCUCUGGGUGUAGGACAACAACCUACUGAGCUACAGCCUGUUUGAUAUCAGUCUGUUCAACAGUUUUCAGAGCAGCUCUGUUUAAAAUGUUCACUGAAAAAAGGAAAAAAAAAAUGACUGCAUACCUUAAGGUCAUGAUAGGAGUGCGUGUGCGUGGGUGUUUGUCACCUCUGUUGUUGUCAUGACUUGGGGGCAGUGGUGGCCUAGUGGUUUAAAAAGGGUAUUUGUGUCUUUCAAGUUGCAAUUUCGAGGUCACCUAAGGUGAUGGGGCGUAUGGACGGCAUAUUUUAUUGUGUGAAAUGGUGUGCUGUGCAUCAAUAACAAUAAUUGACUUUUUAAUCUGGUAAUCUUAAUUACAUUCACACUAAUUAAUCAAUCGCAAUGUAUUGCACUUUAUACUGCAAAGCCAGUUCAGUGGCUUAGCGAGGCAUGUUGAGUCUCAAGCCUGUACUCCAAAAGUGGCUCUCUUUUAACCUGGCUAGAUCACCAUGGUAACUUAUGGCCUGUUCAUAAUGUGCUCCUGACCAGAUUAGGUUCAGAGUUUCGCCUUAAAAUCGUACACGAAAGCACCAGCAUUUUACUGUGGAACUCACUACUCAUUGUGACGUGAGAACCAGGUUGAGAUGUCUAAAUCAAUAAAGAAAGUAGGAGUCGUGGAAGGGUUUUAUUUACUUAACACAAUACACUAGAAGCUGUGUUUUAGCAAAAAUAAUUCGGGCAGCACUUCGACAGGAAAGGUUUCUUUAAGGUUGCACUGAUCCGCUGGUUUUUCCUAUUGAAAUUCUCUAUGAGCAAUAUGAAAUAUUAGUUAGGCCUACCUAGUGCUUAUUUGUCACAGAUAAUAAGUAAAGUUAAUUAUUUCACUGACAUGUAGCCAUCUAUAAACGGAUUAAUGUUUGAUCUAUUUGUUAUUGUACUGAUACGGUAGAUUUGCUGGUUCAUCCGGACACAGGAAAAAAAAAAAAGCCA
Long non-coding RNA from Cynoglossus semilaevis (tongue sole), 3190 nucleotides. RefSeq lists it as uncharacterized. The transcript is spliced from 2 exons. NCBI's taxonomy places the organism in Eukaryota, Metazoa, Chordata, Actinopteri, Pleuronectiformes, Cynoglossidae. The record is from RefSeq and is a predicted model, not a curated record.